AUGGAGUCGCCGCCGCCCAAGCGCAACGCCGGCCACGGCGGCGAGGACGGGAUCAGCGCGCUCCCCGACCACCUCCUCCUCGACAUCCUCGAGCGCCUCGACCUGCGCGAGGCGGUCCGCGCCGGCGCGCUCUCCACGCGGUGGCGGCACCUCCCCAGCCACCUCUCGCGCGUGCACCUCGAUGUCGCUCACUUCCGUGGCGCCACGCCGCUCGAGGUCAUGGACGCGUUCACGGGCGCGGCACGGGCCUUGCUCGCUCGGGUUCCUCUCGCCGAGGGCGUGUGCGGGAAUAGUGCCCUCAAGGUGCUCGUCCUCAGCUUCUACACGUCUCCCCCUCACCGGAGCUCAAUAGGCCGCCUCGUCGAGGACAUUGUGAGCUUGGGCAACACCCAAUGCCUUGAGUUUUGCAUAUCCCCGCCGCCCACUGACCCGCUGGGCAGCGAGAUUGAGAAUGUGCAGGAGUUCAUGGCCUUCUCCCGCGCCUACCCAGUUGCCUUCUCAUGGCUUACCAGGCUUACGCUCGAAUAUCAUGCUUUUGGACAUUCCGACAUCACUGACCUCAUUAGCACUUGCGGUAGGCUCAGGCACCUCAGCUUGAGAUUCUGCGGUCUGCUUGAUCUGCAAUCCACGCUCAAGAUCGAUGUGCCGUGCUCUGAGCUCCAGGAGCUCUACUUCAUCGGCUUUUUGUGCACGCGGAUUGAGCUCGUCUCUGUCCCGAAGCUUAGGCAAGUGGAGUGCAAAUGUUGGCACUUGGAGAACCCUCCGGUGCGCUUCGGCCACGUUCCUGAGCUUCGCGUUGUAAUUCUCUAUUCUAAAGCCAAUGCAUGUUUCAGUUGUGCAUGUAUCUUCUUGCUGCAGAUUUGGAUUCAGCCAGAACCUCCGAAGCAGCUCAUUGCUAUAUUCAGAAACCUGACCUCUAUGCUUCUUUUGCGUAUCUUUAGUGAGUGUGAUCUGAGCUGGACACUGUUUAUCCUUGAAGCUGCACCUGCCCUAUAUGAUAUGACAUUGUCUCGACAUUCAUGUACCAAGACGCCCAAGGACAGUGCCGAGAAGACCAACGUGGUGUGGGAGCCAUCUAAGGAUUUGAAGCACCUGAACUUGAAGGUGCUGCGGAUCUUCGGGUGCGAGGAAGAAGGCAAGGUGACAAACUAUAUAAGGCUUGUCAUGGAACGAGCUGUGGGGUUGUUGAAAAUCAAGCUGUACGGUGAAAGCCCAUGCAGGUCAACUCACACAUGGAUCAUCCUCAUCCGUGGAGAUAAUUAUCUGUUGACGGAUAUGGUCAGGGAGUGCAGUGGUCUCAUAAUGCUCGCAGGCUUGCAGCAGCUUGAGCAAUGA
This 1335-nucleotide ribosomal RNA is filed under the name Triticum aestivum (bread wheat). Its description in RNAcentral is "partial small subunit ribosomal RNA". Lineage: Eukaryota; Viridiplantae; Streptophyta; Magnoliopsida; Poales; Poaceae. The record is from RNAcentral.